GGGCUCAUAGCUCAGCUGGGAGAGCACCUGCCUUACAAGCAGGGGGUCACAGGUUCGAGCCCUGUUGAGCCCACCA
Molecule: transfer RNA, 76 nt
Filed under: Acetoanaerobium noterae
Lineage: Bacteria; Bacillati; Bacillota; Clostridia; Peptostreptococcales; Filifactoraceae
Also listed under: 6 other names
Description: tRNA-Val
Rfam family: tRNA
About the family: Transfer RNA (tRNA) molecules are approximately 80 nucleotides in length. Their secondary structure includes four short double-helical elements and three loops (D, anti-codon, and T loops).
Source: RNAcentral